AAACUUAGUAGUAUUGACAUUGUCACGAGUCGAGUCUGUGAUCUAUUUCGACCAGUUUCUAGAAGCUCGAGGUCAAACCAGUGCAAGUGUCCAGCGUAAACAAGUUAAUUUUAGGUAUCCAAUCAAAGAAAGAGGUUAAGGGAAAAAAAUAGCACACGUCAGCUUCUAGAAGGUCAAAGUUACUAAAAUAAUUAGGGGGAGAAGUUUCCAUGAUUCUGGAAUGUACGAUUAAGAAAGGUAUACAUUAAGGGAAAGUCAGUUAGACGGGGUCCUCGCUUAGUCCUCGAUUAGUAAUGGUUAUAAGUUUUGUGAUAUUAGCGGGUCCAUUAGUUAAAGUUGAAUGUUAUACUAAGUGAAGUUUCAUGUAUCUUUAAGUUUUAUUUAUGAAGUAUCAAGUCAAAUUGUUAUUGAAUUGAGAAGUCAUUUUAUGUGAAAGUUGAAGAAGUAUUAUUAAAGAAGUUUUAAGAAAAUACAGAGAGAUGUUUCUUUCUUCAUUUCAUUGAAUUGUCAAGUUUGAUAAUAUAAUCCCCGGCAAGUGUGAUCGUCACAGACAUCUCUAAAAGAGCCAUCAGAGAUGCAGUCCUGAAACUAUUCAUUCAUCUUCUGUGGAGUCAUGGCCCUCAUCGUCUCCAUCAUACCCAUCGUGGAGCCAGGGGCCCAGAGAUACAACAAAGCCAACCUGGCUCGAAAAGCGAAACGAACAUUUCAUGAGAUAAUUCAGAAACCAGUGAAUCUAUUUCUAAACGUUUGCUGUUUCUCGCUCAUGGAUAGAACAGCAAGUAAAGUCAACCUUCUCUGUGUCCUAGAACUUCUUAUAUACUUUUUACUUCUGUCGACUUCCAGAAUGAUCGCAAGGCAGCAAAGGUUUGAGUUUUGUUCAGCAGAUUCAAUAUUUGUGCCGCUCGUGAAAAUCAAUAAAUACUCAAGAAACUGCUCUUUGCGAAACCUUUUACAAUGAUAUAUAAGGCAUAUUAAUUAGUAUUUAAUGUUGGAAGGACUACUUCAUAGAACUACAAAUUCCUAUAUGAAUCAUAAUAUUCAUAGCAACGGAUGAUAAACCUGAAAAAAAAUAAUUCCAGUGUGUUUGAUGAUCACACAGGUCAAGGGCUGUUGAAUAAGGGGACAGUACUGCUAGUGCACGCAUGUAUGACCUGUGCUGAGGUCAUGUGACAGAUAGCCUUUACGGGGGAGAGACUCAGUGUGUAAAGCCAGUGUAAAGAAAGGACAGUUGAG
This is a long non-coding RNA of Biomphalaria glabrata, 1233 nucleotides long. RefSeq lists it as uncharacterized. The record is from RefSeq and is a predicted model, not a curated record. The transcript is spliced from 3 exons. NCBI's taxonomy places the organism in Eukaryota, Metazoa, Mollusca, Gastropoda, Planorbidae.